CUUCCUUGCCCAAUUGAGGCUUUGAGAGAGGUGGAAGGUAAGAAAGAGUCUCGUACUUCUUCUUAUUAAUAGGUGGCCAUACCUUCAUGCAAUGCACUCUUCCACCAUUGCUAGGGAGAGAAGUGAUGUCAUUGUUGGACUUUCUAGUGACCGGAAAAGCCGAAGCGGACUUGAGACCGGUGAAGGGUGCAACCAUGCUAGCCUGAGCCGGG
Molecule: unclassified non-coding RNA, 212 nt
Filed under: Hevea brasiliensis (rubber tree)
Lineage: Eukaryota; Viridiplantae; Streptophyta; Magnoliopsida; Malpighiales; Euphorbiaceae
Source: RNAcentral